CGAACGAACCUUCGGGUUAGUGGCGGACGGGUGAGUAACGCGUGGGAAUCUGCCCUCAGGAGGGGGAUAACGGUUGGAAACGACCGCUACUACCCCAUAUGCCGAUAGGUGAAAUGAAUUUCGCCUGAGGAUGAGCCCGCGUCUGAUUAGCUAGUUGGUAAGGUAAAGGCUUACCAAGGCUUCGAUCAGUAGCUGGUCUGAGAGGAUGAUCAGCCACACUGGGACUGAGACACGGCCCAGACUCCUACGGGAGACAGCAGUGGGGAAUUUUCCGCAAUGGGCGAAAGCCUGACGGAGCAACGCCGCGUGAGGGACGAAGGCCUCUGGGCUGUAAACCUCUUUUCUCAAGGAAGAAGAUAUGACGGUACUUGAGGAAUAAGCCACGGCUAAUUCCGUGCCAGCAGCCGCGGUAAUACGGGAGUGGCAAGCGUUAUCCGGAAUUAUUGGGCGUAAAGCGUCCGCAGGCGGCCUUUCAAGUCUGCUGUUAAAGCGUGGAGCUUAACUCCAUUAUGGCAGUGGAAACUGAUAGGCUUGAGUAUGGUAGGGGCAGAGGGAAUUCCCGGUGUAGCGGUGAAAUGCGUAGAUAUCGGGAAGAACACCAGUGGCGAAGGCGCUCUGCUGGGCCAUUACUGACGCUCAUGGACGAAAGCCAGGGGAGCGAAAGGGAUUAGAUACCCCUGUAGCCCUGGCCGUAAACGAUGAACACUAGGUGUCGGGGGAAUCGACCCCUUCGGUGUCGUAGCUAACGCGUUAAGUGUUCCGCCUGGGGAGUACGCACGCAAGUGUGAAACUCAAAGGAAUUGACGGGGGCCCGCA
RNAcentral lists this ribosomal RNA (816 nucleotides) under uncultured Prochlorococcus sp. Its description in RNAcentral is "bacterial SSU rRNA". It matches the Rfam family "Bacterial small subunit ribosomal RNA", at positions 63 to 925 of the family's 1533-position model. Lineage: Bacteria; Bacillati; Cyanobacteriota; Cyanophyceae; Synechococcales; Prochlorococcaceae. The record is from RNAcentral.